This 253-nucleotide ribosomal RNA is filed under the name uncultured bacterium. RNAcentral describes it as "partial 16S ribosomal RNA". It matches the Rfam family "Bacterial small subunit ribosomal RNA", at positions 524 to 776 of the family's 1533-position model. The record is from RNAcentral.
UACGUAGGGGGCGAGCGUUGUCCGGAUUUACUGGGCGUAAAGGGCACGCAGGCGGUGCGGCGCGUUUCGCGUGACAGCGGAGGGCUUAACUCUCCGAGGAUGCGAAAGACGGCGGCACUUGAGGGCCAGAGAGGGACACGGAAUUCCGGGUGGAGUGGUGAAAUGCGUAGAUAUCGCUUGGAACGCCGACGGUGAAAACAGGUGACUGGGGCCGCGCUGACGCUGAGACACGAAAGCCAGGGGAGCGAACGGG